Long non-coding RNA from Mustela lutreola (European mink), 3473 nucleotides. RefSeq lists it as uncharacterized. The transcript is spliced from 6 exons. Lineage: Eukaryota; Metazoa; Chordata; Mammalia; Carnivora; Mustelidae. The record is from RefSeq and is a predicted model, not a curated record.
CCAACUGGCCUCAAUCGCCCGUCGCGGUUGGGAGGGCGCUCUGGACGCGUUGGCGCCAGCGGGCUGCUGCGGGCAGCACUGGGAUUGUUAGGGCCAGUCUGCUCUGUGUGGGCGGGGCCGUACACCCGCGGCCCCCUCUCCAGGCGGGACGAGUCUGUGCCAACGGGUUACUUUGAGAAGUGGCGGUUCUAGGUUCUGGUGUGAGACUCCUUAUGUGGGCAGUGUAUUUGGAUGGCUCAGAAAUGGGCGCCGCUCCACUUAACCCCGAGUUCUCUGUCUGGAAAGGUGAAGACACUUGAACUGAAGUUCGGUUAUGUGAAUUUUAAAUUUGCUGAUGACCAGGGAAGAUCCUUGAGACUUAGUGAGACAAACAUCCUUGGGUAUGAAAUUAAAUUGAGAAAACUGAAAAGAAAGGAUGCAAGAAAGGACUCAUUCCCAGGCCACCUGCAGCCCAUCCAUAGAAUCUCAGUUUAAGGAUCACUUCCCCAGGAUCAGAAAAAGUUUCCCUUACUUCCAGACUAGGAUCAGAAUGUCAAAACACUUUUCAAGAACCUGCCUGACAAAGUCACUCAACAUGAGUUAAAAGACGUGUUUAAGGAUGGCUUUCAAGUCAGCUUGUUUGAAUCCUGCAUGUGUGUCACUAAUUCAGAAGAUGAAAGGACUAAAUAUUGACUCUUCGUUCAUCUCUCCCCCACACCAUCUCCACAACUGCAGGAUUGCAUAUGUUGAUUUCAAGUCACAGGCUGAUGCAGAAAGAGCGUUGGACUAGAAACAAGGAGCAGAGUAGUGGGAAAACAAAAGCUAGAACAAGAAAGUCACGCGUUUCAAGAAAAAUAGGAGCGAGCUUAUUUCUUUGUGGAGAUCAAGAACGUUCCUACGUGUUUAAUAAGCAAAGUGUGCCUGUGUCGAUGGAAUUGAACCUCAGAUGCCAUUAUGAAACAAUCCACAGUAGGAACCAUGAUGGAUACACUCCAAAGAUGCGUGAUAGGGGCGCCUGGGUGGCUCAGUGAGUUAAAGCCUCUGCCUUCGGCUCAGGUCAUGGUCCCAGGGUCCUGGGAUCAAGCCCCGCAUCAGGCUCUCUGCUCAGCGGGGAGCCUGCUUCCUCCUCUCUCUCUGCCUGCCUCUCUGCCUACAUGUGAUCUCUGUCUGUCAAAUUAAAAAAAAAAAAAAAAAAAAAGAUGUGUGAUUAAAAAACUUGAACUGAAAAAAAGACUGAAAUUUCAACACGACUUACUUUGAAAGUUAAUAAAAUAAACGCCCCCGCUAGGAAAUGCAGUUAUGUGUUAAGUAAGAAAAUUGCCUGGGCAUCGAAACCUUUUACAGAUGGUCUAAGUUGUUUUUUUUUUUUUAAGAUUUUUUUUUUUAAAUUUGACAGAGAUCACAAGUUGGCAGAGGGGGGUGGGGUGGGAAGUAGGCUCCCUGCUGAACAGAGAGCCUGAUGCAGGGCUCGAUCCCAGGACCCUGACAUCAUGACCUGAGUCAAAGGCAGAGGCUUAACCCACUGAGCCACCCAGGCGCCCCCAGAUGGUAAGUUUAUAAAGGAAUGUCUGUUGAGUGCAGCAGAACAGAGACAAGCAUUUGCCAGUCUAAGACGAAGUGGUAAUACUGUUAAGCAGCAUGUUGACAGGCUCAUGAAAGGGCCAAUGGAAAUAAUGCCCCCCCAGCUGGCUAUAUUUAUUUGUGCUGUUGAUGACGCUUUCGAUGGGACGGGAGAACUUUUGGACAUGGAUCCCAUGACAGGGACCAUGUCAGGAAAUGACUGACUUGUCUAUAUUGAGGAAAGUCUUACAAAAUUUAAUGUAGCCUGGUCACAGUUAGUAAGCAUUGGCACAGAUGUCAAUUUGGCAUCAGUCGGUGUUGAGCAACUUGUUAUGAAACUUAAAGCUAAAGUGUCCAGGCUUUGCAAAGACACAGAACUGAAGUCCAUGCAUGGCCUCAUUCUCCCCCAGUCGCUUUGUGCUAAAAAGUUAAAAAUGGAUCACGUCAUGGACAUAGUGAUUCACACCAUAACCUAGAUCCAUUCCCAUGGCUCAGACCACGGAAAGUUCAGUGCUUUGUUCAAUGACUUAUAUGCACAGUAUGGAAACCUGUCGUUCUCCAUGGGACAUAAGUGGCUGAGUCAUGGCAUGGUGCUCAGGUGGUUUUUCGAACUGUUGGAAGAAAUUGAUUUUUUCAUGUCUUCUGAAGGAGUCUUGGUUCCUCAGCUCACCAGCAAAGACUGGGUCAAAGGCUUAGUCUUUUUGGUUGACAUUAUGACUUACCUAAACAUGUUGGAGAUUUCCUGCUAAGGCACUCACAAGUUGUUACACAGAUGUACGAUUCAGUUCGCUCCUUCCUGAUGAAACUGUGUUUUUGGGAAGCUCAUUUAGCAAGGAACAAGCUGGCCCACUUCCCUACACUGAAAUUAGUUUCUGAAAAUGAAAAAGAUGGCCUGAACUGUAUUUACCAAAUUAGGGAGUUGAGACUGGAUUCCAGGAACGGUUCUCUGAUUUCAAACUUUAUGAAAACCAGCUGACAUCGUACAGCUCACCUUUCUCAAUCAACAUUAAUAACAUGAAAGAAGAGCUGCAAAUGGAAGUUCUUUUUUUUUUUUUUUUAAAGAUUUUAUUUAUUUAUUUGACACAGAGAGAUACAGUGAGAGAGGGAACACAAGCAAGGGGAGUGGGAGAGGGAGAAGCAGGCUCCCUGCAGGGAGCCCGAGGCAGGGCUUGAUGUGGAGCUUGAUUCGGGGCUCGAUCUCAGGACCCAGGGAUCAUGACCCAAGCCGAAGGCCAACACUUAACUACUGAGCCACCCACAGGCCCCCAAUGGAAAUUCUUGAAUUGUAGGGCAAAACACGACUGAGGACGAAAUAUGAUGGUGUUGGGAUCCCAGAAUUCUACACUUAUCUUGGGAACGGUUACCCUAAAUAUAAAAACCACUAUGCAAAGAUUCUGUCCAUGUUCAGAAGUACCUAUGUUUGUUAUCAGCUCUUUUCUGUCAUGAAACAGCAUAAAACUAAAACUAAAUAUUGCUCCUGGUUAAAGGACUCGGAGGUGAAUUCCCUGCUACAUGUCACUGUGCAAGAUUCCCAGCCUGACCUUGUUUGACACCUUGCUUGGGGCUUAAGAAGGGAAUAUCAGGUGUCAUGUUUCAAAUCUAAGGACAAAAAAAUUAGGAAACUUUAAAUAUUAUUUCUACUUCCAAAUUACAUGUGUUCAGCAUCAAAUUUAAGGUGCAAUCUCUGGGAUCCUGUUUGUUUGUUUGUUUUUAAAGAUUUUAUUUGAGAGAGAGAGUGAGAGCAUGAGAGGGGGAAGGUCAGAGGGAGAAGUAGACUCCUCACAGAGCUGGGAGCCCGAUAUGGGACCCAAUCUGGGACUCCGGGAUCAUGACCUGAGCCGAAGGCAGUGGCUUAACCAACUGAGCCACUCAGGUGCCCCUGGGAUCCUGUGUUUGUAUUUGUCAAAUAGGAAAUAAAGUUUGAUAAUACCUUG